Long non-coding RNA from Brassica rapa (field mustard), 18418 nucleotides. RefSeq lists it as uncharacterized. NCBI's taxonomy places the organism in Eukaryota, Viridiplantae, Streptophyta, Magnoliopsida, Brassicales, Brassicaceae. The record is from RefSeq and is a predicted model, not a curated record.
UCUUUCGUACAUAUCAAAAAAAAUUUAUUCAUUGUCGACCAAAGGCGAGAAAUCUACUUCUCGAGUGAAGGCGAUAUCGAAGGCGAUUCGAAGGCGAUUCGAUCCAUCCCGAGAAGAAGGUUUAACCAAUCAUGGGAUAAGACUAUUCGUACACCCAGCCUUCUUCAUCAGAUGAGUUCGACAUGACGUCCCUUCUUGAAGCAGAGGCUGCUCUUUAUGCGGAUGAAGGACAUAGUAGUUUCUCUAUUGGCGAGCCGGUUCACAACCCACCUGAGGCUGAUGAUGGCAUCCCAACGAGAUGCUUCUGUGGCAGUGAGGCUGCUAUUGCAACAUCUUACACGCGAAAAGAUCCAGGGAGGUUGUACUACACGUGCGAGAAUAGAGAUGAUGGGGGCUGACACAUAUGGAAAUGGUGGGAUGUGGCAGUCACGGAGGAGGUGAGUGAGGUUCAGAGAGAACUCAGGCUGCUUAAGGAGCAAGGUUUCGAGUGUGAUCAGAAGCUGCUUAAGCUACAGAAGACCGUCUGUGAGCUCAAGAAGAAUUCAGAGUCUACAAAUGGCUAUGCAUUGGAAGUUUGUGUAAUGGUCUCCGUAUUAGUUUUUCUAGGUUUGGCGCUUAUGUUUGUCAGUGGUACGUAUCUCUCUUGAGUUUUUGUUUGUUCUUCAUGAUAUUUUGUAAAACUUAUGACAGUUUGAUCUCAUGUUUAUGCAGGAAGACACUACAACAAAUAUGGCUUUUCAUAGCAUACGGUUAACGCUAUUAUAUGGUUUUUAUAGCGGUUUUAUAAAUGCUAUUACAGUUGACGCUAUAAUAGGGUACCUAUAUACGAUAGCGUUUUGAAAUGAUGCUAUUGUAGAGUGACCUAUAAUAGCGUUACGGUUAUGCUGUAUUAAUGCAAUUUAUGACACAUUACUCAUGUUAUAGGAAAUUAUAUAACAGCUGUUCUCUAACGCUGUAUUAAUUAUAUUUAUAACACGUUAUUCGUGUUAUAGGAAAUUAUAUAACAACUGUUCUUUGUUGCUGUAUUAAACUUAAUAAUAACAUCUAAUUCGUGUUAUAUAUAAUUGUAUAAUAACAUUUUUUGCUGUUAUGUAUAUUUGUAAAAUAGCUAUAUUAUGUAGCCAUGAAUUACGUUGUAGUAGCUCUGCAUAGAUGCUAUUUGGUGAUGUGGUUUUGAUUUAUGUAUAUAUGAAUUGUAGCUUCUAUUUUGGAUACAGUUUCAGACAAUAAAUCCAUCAUAUGUUACAGCAAAUUCUCAUAAAAAAAUAAACAAAGUCUGAAUCCAUUUUCAUUUCUCCAUAAUAGAAAUACAAUAUCAUAAUUAAGUUUGAAAGAAAAAACACAAAUACCAUAGGUUCAUUAGUAAUACUAAAGGAAAGAAAGUAGAAGACCAUCCAGUUCUUAUUCCACCUCAAACGAUGACAACUUUAUCUUCAGGCCAUGCUACAGUAGUGCCGAUAGCAUCCUCCAUACACUCAAUUGCAGACGUUGGCCUCCAAACCUUGGCAUCAUUCACCUUCACUACAUCAACCCACACACGAACUGCAUUAUUGCCCAACGGAACGAAAUGGACUAACUGUUCAGGGUUGUUCGAAGACCAGCGUCCUUCUGCAACAACUACUUUUUCACCGGUAAUAUCCAACAGUUUGCACUUCUGACCCUCUUUCACAAUCUGUGUAAAAGAACGAUGUCAAAUAGUGUAAGUAAUAUGUAAGCAUUAGCAACUUUAUCAGGUCAACGAUCACUACCUACUAAUACACUUACACUUACCUUCUGAGAACUUGAAGGAGGUUGUGCAAAUGUUUUUGAAAUCUUAGCAGGAGCUGGUGGAGUGUGAACUUGUGAGUGCGUAUGAGGAGUAGCUGUAGUUAGUGACUCUGUGUCUGAAUUCUCAAAUAAAACUCUGCUCACUGGCCAUGCUACAAACGUCUUCAAACAGUCGCGAAGGUUUGAGUGUUUUUCUGUUGGCCGCCAAAGAAAUGUCUAUGUUACCGUUACCACAUCCACAAAUACUUUAACAGCAUUUGGUCCAAGAGGAAGGCCAUCCACCAAGGCUUCGGGAUCACGACUCUCCCAAUGACCUUCAGCAACUGUUUCUUCAUCAUCUGUUAGCCAAUGUAGCAGUUUGCACUUGUUCAUUUCUUUUGUCUCUGGGCUCUGACAAACAAACAAAUCCAUCAUAGGAAACACAUUAAUAGAUAUUAGAAAAAAAAACUUAAGAUCAAAAUGAGAUGAGUAAUGAAAACUUUACAUUACUUGGAAUGUCAUUUGGAGAGAACUCCUCGUCAAGAACUAGAACCGCAUCCUGAGGCCACGCUACUGUUUCUCCUACAGCCUGACCAAUAGUAUACAUUUUUGGCGCCGGUCUCCAAAGAAAUGCAUCUUUUUUCAAAAGCCGUCUCAACUACCACCUUAGCUGAAUUAGGGCCCAAGGGUACAUUGUUAACAAACUCCAUCACAUCAGAAGACAGAAAACGACCGUCUGCUACUUUGGAUUCAUUGUCACACCAAUUGUAUAGAAUACACUUAGGCUGUGGAAACCUUUUGUUUACACUCUACAAAUAUUAAUCAACUAAACUGUUAUAUUCCAUUCCGUUCAAGUUCAGCAAAAAAUACUUAAUCCAGAAGAACUUACUGAUGGUGGUGAAUUUUCACCAACUUCCGAGUCUGUCCGCUGCAAAUAGACAUAAAAAUUAGGUUAUCAUUUUGCAAAAAACAAUAUCCAAAGGACAGUUAAUCUUUAACACUUACUCGACUAUUCAUUUUUGCAAGGGCCUCUUGUAAUUCGUGGACCUGCUGCUUCAACUGAACUUGUGUCUGUUGCAUUUCAGUCAUUUGCUUAAGCCGAACAACGCAAGUUUGCUCACACUCAUUCCUCUACCCAUUGCCCUCAAGCGUCCAGGAUUGUCAGGUCCUAAGAGCUGACUAAGAGUGUCUUCUCUUGGGUUUGAGGAAGAUGCUCCUGGAUCAUCAGACAAAAUAAGCUCAUUGGCCUUUUCCUGAAACAUGUUGAAGUUAUGAUUAAACUGUUGUGUAGUUUAACGCUACUGUGAAUCUCAUAAUCAAAUAAGGUAAUGAAACAACAAAUUACUAUUUUUUCAGCAGCAUCCAUGUUUACUGCUGUCCCAUCCUUUUUAGUUCGUGACUUGACCCAUACAUUCAGUUUGGUUAUUUCACCAACAUCUGAGCUCUCUUUUUUCUGCAUUAUGAUUCAAGCUCUCUUAUUAAAAAUCAAUGUCAAAUAUAUCCAUAUUUUCAUACGAUUAAAGAUCAUUAGCAGUAAAAUACUUACUAAAUCUUAUGCCAGUCUAACCAUUCCUUUGCGGCUACAUGUAUGAGGAAUCUGCUUACGUCUUCUUUCCUUGUAUGCAUCGCUAACAGCCUAUAUAGAAGUGUUACAAUGCUGAAUUUGAAAAAUAAAACUAAGUACAAUUUCAUACCUUGAAUUCUUUAGUUGUCUUCUCUUUCACAAACUUCCUCCACUCAGCCACUGGAAUAUUGUUUGGACGCAACUUCAUUCGCUCUGCGUGGUUAUCAGCUUUAAUAAUCUGAUUAACCAAGCGUGAUUUAGAGGCCCUCCAUAAGCAUCCCAUCUGUUUCAUUACUGCCGCUUUCUCAAACUCUCUAUCCAGUUCGAACCGUAACUACAGUAACAAGAAAAAUUUAAGAGUAACAAGAAAAAAUAAAGACAAGCAUAAAUUACAAUGAGCAUUACUAGAAAUACCUUAACAGAUUUCCAGAGAACAGUCUUCCGUUCCUCACCAAUUUUUCUCCAAUCAUCUAUGAUGACAGGAACAUGUUCCCUUACCAAGGGACCUAAGUAAGAAGAAAGCUUAACUGAUCCUUCUCCACAAGGUUCUCCAAACUCGGUGAACUCCACUUUUAUUUGUGCAUUAGGAUCUCUCGCAAUAUCUUUCAUCUUCGUUGGUCCUCUGUGUUUCUUAGUCCGGGGCUGUACCAUAUCACUAUCCUCAUCACGAACUUUAGCACCUUGGGCCUCUUUGUUGGGUUCUUCUCCACAAGCCGUAGCAGCUUCAGAAUCUUUGUUUAGUUCUUCUCCACCAUCAUUAGCAGCUUCGGAAUCUAUGAUGGGUUCUUCUACACGAGCAUUAGAACCAUCGGCAUCUUGGUUGAGUUCUUCUCCACCGUCAUUAGCACCUCGUGGUUCAUCAAGCUGUGGCUGUGUCGGGUUCUCUUUGUAUAGAGGCAGUGACUCCUCAAUCCCAUGGUAGAGGGUGCCCAUGAAUUCAUGGUCAUCAACUCGUACUUGGGUCUUCCUUUUCCUGGGUUGCUUUCUCCCUUUACCGGCCAUGACAAUCCUACAAUAAAACUCAAGAGAAACUCAACAAUUAACUCAUACUCAAACCAACUCAAACAUGAAUCAUAAGUAGUUAAUCAAUGCAAUCAAUCAUUUAUUCCAUAAUCAACCAAAGAAUGUAAUGCAAACCCAAGAAUAGUUAAUCAACGAAAUCAAACAUAUAUUCCUUCACUAUCAUCUCUGACAUCAUCAGCUUUAUCUGAUAUGUCUUCUAGACUCAUAUCCAUAUCCGAAGGCAAUGGACAUACAUCUGCAUGUAGGUCAUCCACUUUCUCAUGACUGUAUCUUCUACUUGGACCCUUUAUUACUACAUACCAACUCGAUUCAUCAUUUUCCCUUGAGUAAAAUAUCUGUCUCGCCUGAGAUGCUAAAAUGAAUGGAUCCUUUCCAAAGGAUAUGUGGCUGUGAUUAAAAUUAACCAGCGUAAAGCCAUUCUCUACCUUCACACCGUUACCUUUAACUGCCCACUCACACCUGAAUAUUGGCACGUAGAAGGCAUUGUAAUCCAGUAGUAUAAUAUCAACUACUCUCCCAUAGUAGGAUACAACGUUUACCACCUGCGCUGUGUCCCUUGCACUUGAUCUACACAUUGAUGUUGCCUCAUAGUAAACCCCACUAUUCUGACUUAGCCUAUGCACUUGCUUCGUAUGAAACCGUAGGCCAUUCACAAUGUAGCCUGUGUAAGAUCAGGCUAUACUACGAGGACCAUAAGCCAGCCACUUCAGUGUCUCUUCCUCAUCAGCUGAAUCAAUAGGUUUCUAAAAUUUAUUAAAAUAAAAGUUUGUCAGCUAAACUACAUGGGUAUAAAAUCAAAUAAAAACAUUUACAGUACUAAGAGACAUGUUUCUUUAGCCACGCCGCGAAUUUUUCAGUGUGCAUACGCCAUAAAUACGUUGCAUCCCGUUGACAUCUACUAUUUGAGUCUUGUAAAUGUUGUAAAUGAGCACUUGCAUAUGAAAAAAAAAAACCUCAAAACUGGAAUCUAAUAUAAGUUUAAAUGAAAAAUAUUCUAAGUAAUAAGAGAAACUUACUCAACAUAUGGAUCCACCAUACCCGUGUUUUGUAUUACAGCAAGAUGAGCUAUUUUCAACUCUGUAUCAAAAAAUUGGAAUGAGCGGGCAGCUGAUAUAGGACGACCUUCAAGGAUGGAAAGUCUCUCGUACUCAGUGUUUCUGUCCUCUUUUUCUUCUACAUUUGUUGUAGUCUUCAAGAAAGCCGAGCAGAACUUCAUGCACUCGUCUGCAAGAUAAGACUCAGCUAUACACCCCUCUGGUCUUGCUGUGUUUCUUACAUAGUCUUUCAAUACUUUCAUGUACCUGUUUUAAGUGAAAAUAAAAUUUUAGUUAUAAGUCCAUUUGGAAGAUAAAUAAAUAUUUUUUUCACAAGAAAACAUACCUUUCAAAAGGAUACAUCCAUCGGAAAUGGACAGGACCACCAAGUCGAGCUUCUCUGCCUAGAUGCACACACAAGUGAACCAUGAUGUCGAAGAAACUAGGUGGCCAAAAUCUUUCAAAAAUGCAAACAGUCUCCACAAUUUCAGUUUCCAUUAGCUGGAGUUGUUCCAUAUCAAGUUCUCGUUGGCAUAGAAGGUUGAAGAAAGCGCAUAAGCGGAAAAUGGCUACCCUAGGACCCUUACGUAGUAAGCCCCUAAUUGCUACUGGAAGCAGUUGUUGCAUUAGGACGUGGUAAUCAUGAGAUUUGAGUCCCAUCACCUUACACUCCUCUAAUGAUAUACAACUAGAUAUAUUAGCACAGUAGCCAUCAGGACCUUUAAAAUCAAAGAGCCGCUUACAGAAUGUGUGUUUCUCUGACUUUGACAAAGACCAUGGAGCUGCUGGGAGUAAUGCCCUUUUACCCUGAGCUUUUGGAUGCAAAUCCUUCCUGAUACCAAGACUUUGAAGAUCCUUUCUAGCCUUUAGACCAUCCUUUGAAUUGCCACAAUGUAAUAAUGUGGCAAUCAAGCUUGCAGCCACAUUCCUCUCCACAUGCAUAACGUCUAGAUUAUGUCGAACAAGUAGCUCCUGCUCAUGUGAAAGCAAAUAAAGAAAUCAGUCAGAACAAGUGUUAUAGAAUUAAACAUCUUGUAAAUCGAAUUUUUAUACAUACCUCCCAAUAAGGCAAUGAGAAAAAAAUCGAACGUUUCUUCCAUCUAGACAAUUCCUCUUUGUCUUUCUCUCCUAUAUCUUCAUCUUCAUCAGAUUCACUUAGUUCCUCCUCGUUAUCAGAUGGUAUGUCAACUCGAGUAGCUCUCUUUUUCCCAGACUGUUUUCUAUUACCAAACACAUUAUUGUAAUUUCUCAGCACAAAUGAGACAUUCCUACCCGUCAGUAUCCUUCCCUUUGUCCCAUGUUCAGUUUUCCCAUCAAACCAAGUCUUCUUUCCUCUGAAACUAUGUAAGGGAGGCAAACAUUUCCGGUGGCCCAUAAAUACAAAUUUCCUACUAUUACUCAGCCACAAACUAUCUAUUACUCAGCCACAAACUAUCUGUGUGCUUCCCGCAUAUAGGACAACCCAUCUUACCCUUCACUUUACAACCAGCAAGAUUCUCAUAUGCGGGGAAAUCACUAAUAGUCCAAAGAAGCAUUGCCUUAAGCGUAAAGGUUGUCUUACUAACUGCAUCGUAUGUUAACUCGCCUAUGCACCACAUAUGUUUUAAAUCUUCUAUCAGAGGUUCUCAGUAUACAUCUAUACUAUUGCCCGGUUGAUGGGGUCCUGGAAUCAGCAGACUGAGCAUUAUGUUCUCCUCCUUCAUACAUAGGUCAGGAGCCAUGGUGUAAUUCACCAGUAACACAGGCCAACAACUGUAUUGGCUGUUCUUCAUACUGAAGGGAUUAAACCCAUCUGUUGAAAGCCCAAGUCGCAAGUUCCUCUCCUCCGCUGCGAACGCCGGAUACUUGUCAUUCAUUGACUGCCAAGUAGCAGAAUCUACUGGAUGGCGCACUUUCCCAUCUGUGCUCUUGUUAUUGAAAUGCCAUCGUAAAUCCAUUGCAAGUUGCUCCGAUCUGAACAUCCUUUUCAGGCGAGGUAAUACUGGAAAGUAUCUCAAAACCUUAUGUGGAACACCCUUCUUGAUUUCACCAGUAUGCAUGUCGGUCUUCCAUCUAGAUGCCUUGCAUUUUGGGCAAUUCUCAGCCGUCUUCAGCUUCUUUCUAAAUAAGCAGCAAUCGUUCACACAAGCAUGAAUUUUUUGAUAUCCCAUAUCAAAAGAUUUCAAAAACUUCUUGACAUCAUAAGUUGAUGUGUGCAGCACAUUGUCUUCAGGUAACAUGUUCGGAAAAGUUUGCAGUAAGUCAUCAAAGCUCUUGUCUGACCACCCAUUCUGAGACUUAAUCCUGAACAAUGAAACUACAGCUGAUAGCUUGCUAUGACUCGAACACGUUGGAUACUAGGGGAUUUCAGCCUCUGCAAGUUUUGCUAAAAACUCAUCUUCUUUCCUAUCCUCACCCUCAACUGACUCACGCAACUCUGACCCCCGAAUGGCUAAAUCCUCAUCUAAGCAGUUUGCGGCUGCAUAUAAACUAAGGAUCUCAGCAUUCCAGCAUCUAUCUUUAACUUCCACUACAUCAACUGAGUUGCCAUCUCCAUGGUGAAACCAAUCCGACCGUACCUUGUAAGCAUCAUCCAUUCCAUUUAUAACCAAUGAGAGACAACCUCCUCACUUGUUUGGCAAUCUAGAUUACGACAUCGGGCGCAUGGACAUACAAUCUUCCCAUUAACUCCUAACUUAGCAGUAGCAUCAUUGACAAAACUCCUCGCACCUCUCUCAUAUGCAGAAUCAACUCUUAAGUUCAUGUCAAACAAAAAAAAAAAAGUUAUGAUAAGAAUUGUCGAAAUGCAUAAACUGAACACUUAAACAAAUGUACAUACCUACAUAAAUGCACCCAUGACUUGUCAAACAUUGUUAAGACCCUUGCCACAGUUCAAACAAGCGUACAUGGUUCAAGCAGCAAUGACAAUAUAAAUUACACUUCAAAGUGUUAACCGCAAACAACAAACGCAAUGUCUACAAAGUCUACAAAUGAUUACAAAAUGAGAAUAAGUAAAUAGAUGUGUCUAACCUCCACAGAAUAUAGAAGAAGCAAGAUUGUGAAGACACGAACCCACACCUGCGAAAAAAAAACUGUGAUUAAUGGAAACAAAUAUGAACCCAAAACCUAACUAAUUAUCACAGCAUUGAGCAGCCAAAACCUAUCUACUUUCAGAACUUGAAUCAAUCGACAACAUCAAAACCUAACUAAUCACAGCAUUAAGGAUUCACUUUCAAUUUAGAAUAUCGGAUUUGAAAUCGGAGAUGAUGAUGGCUGAAUCGAAUUGGAGACUCGGUUAGGAUUAAUGGAAAAAAACUCUGAACCCAAAACCUAACUAAUUAUAACAGCAUUGAGCAGCCAAAACCUAUCUACUUUCAGAACUUGAAUCAAUCGACAAAAUCAAAACCUAACUAAUCACAGCAUUAAGGAUUCACUUUGAAUUCGGAGAUGAUGAUGGCUGAAUCGAAUUGGAGACUCGGUUAGGAUGAGCGAAGAGAUUAAUGUUGGUGAGCGACGAGGAAUCGAGUUGGAGAUGGUGGAGAGAGCGUUGAGCUCGAUGUGGAGAAGAAGAGAAGACGGAGAAAACGAGAACCCCUUUUCUUUUUUUUUUCUAAUGCUAUGAAAAGUAAAUUGAGAAAUGUUGGCCGCGAAAACCCCAUUUUUUUCUAAGUGUUGGGUGAUUAGUAAGUUUUUAAUCUCGUUUAACUGAUUUUUUGGCAUAGCAUAAGUAAAAUGCUAUAUAUUUCUUAUCCAGGCUUCUAAUUACCUUUCCAUAGCAGUUACGAAAAUUGUGAUAUUAUAAUCUGCUAUCAAUACCUAUAUUUGUUGUACUGAGAGCUUCAAAGAUGUAAACCAGAGUGUCGAGAAGCUCGAGUCUCUCUUUAGUUACGAUACCACAAUUGCCUAGUCUCUUUUCUUAUAACUAUAAACGUAUAGUAGUGUAUUUGUAUUUGUAUUUGUAUUUGUAUUUGUAUACCUCAUAAAUUGGUUCUAGUUAAGUAGAAGCUAGUUGUUUGGUUUCUCUGCAUUGGUGGUAAAUGCUAGAUAAUUAUUUAUUUAUUCCUAAGGAUUCCAAAUCGAGUAUCACCAUUGCACACACCUUUUAGACUAUGAUCCUUAACUAUUCAAAAAGAAAAAAAAAAUACUAUUCUAAUCCUAAGGACUCUUGAGGCAGUACUACCAUUGCACUUGCUCUAAGGUAAGUGGUCAAGGAGAAGACUGUUCUUGCAAUAUAUAAUAGGAAAUACCCAAAAAUAGUAUUAAAAAAGUUUUGAUCACAAAUACAUGGUGGUGGUGAUUGGUUAAUGCUGUAGAAACUGCACACAACAUUAUUAUAACUACAGCACCGAUUUGACAGCAUUCAGACUUUGUUAACUUUUUUGUUUCUACAGCACUGCUUUAAGUUUACGGUUGUGCAACAGCUCUAGAGAGCAAUAUAUCUACAGCCUAGUUUUAUGGGCUUUCAAAGUAUAUUUACAUUAGCUUUAUUCCAAUAUUAAUUUGUAAACAUUAAAACCCUAGUUCUUCGUAUCACUCAUCUGUGUUUUUUUUCUUUUCUGCUUUUAAAUUUGAUUUGACAAUUAAUAUCUUAUUGUUAUUCUUAUGGUUAUGUAUUUGUGUAUUAUGUCAAAUUUAUUUUUAUUAAAAAUUUUAAUUAGUCUAUUUUAUGGAAAAUUUUAAAUUAUCAUUUUAUUAAUUAAUAAGAAUUAGAAAUUCUAUAAAUCUUAUGAUGUAUUUAUUAAUAAAUAAUUAUACAUGUAUAUAAUAUAAUCUAUAGUUAAGUUAUACCAAUCAUAUUUUAAAAAAAAACUACAGGAAUAAAAUCUACAACUACAGCAAAAAAUCUACAGCAAUAAUCCUACAGUAAAAAAAAGUAAAGCUACAGCUUCUACCAAUCAACCCCUAUAGACUCUAAGAAUCAAAAUGACCAAAAUGUUUCAUUAAAGAGGUAAAUAUACAUUUAUAUCUUUAGAGUUAACUAAUCCAAACCUUAUGGUUUAAAGUUAAGAAAUGGGGAUUUGGGAUUGAGGUUUAAAAUUUUAUAAAAUUAAAAAUAAAUAUUAAAAAUUUUAAAAUAAAAAUUUUGAAAAUAGCUUCAAAAAUUAUUUUUGAAUUACAAAAAGAAAAUUUGAAACAAAAAUUAAAAAAAAUUCGAAAAUAAAAUUUUCAAAAAAAAAAGAUUAUAAAAAAGUUCGAAUUUGAAAACAUAUAAUUUAAAAUUAUAAAAAAAAAAUUUUUUUAUUUUUUUAUUUUUUUUUAUAUAUCUAGGGUAUUACGGUCUUUUUACCUAUUAAAUGAAACAUUUUGGUCACUUUUCUCCUUGUGGUAUACUUUUGUGACCAAAACUUGAAAAUGGUCUAUUUAUGAGAAUAUCCCAUAUAUAAUUGAUGUGAUCAGGUUUUAACGAGUAAAAUAAAAUUGCAGGUGGUAUGCAAUAGUACUUAGGGAUCAAAUCCAUAAAGACCAAGGUUACACUAUGAUUCUCCGAGAGUAGAAUUAAGGUAGGAUAAAAGGGUGUUUGUUUAUGUAACCAAAUUGCAGAGAAUGUAAAAGAGAGAAUGUGAAAUGAUGUAAGCUUAUGAAUAAAAACCGUCAGGUCUUGAGAAAUCUUAGGAAAUAUAGAUUGAAUGAUAUGAUUGUUUGAUAGGAAAUAUAUUAAGAACAGUUCUAGAACUCAAAUCUCUUAACUAUAUUAGUCUACUUAUGCAUUACUAAACCUUAUGUAUUAGAAUAUUAAAGAGUAACUUUUGUUGAAUUUCAGAUUCUAAACAUGCAAUAAAAAUAAGUUUGAUAGGUUCCUAGAACUCCUUAACAUCAACUUCCAUUGGUUAGGAAUAUUUCGAUCAUCUAAGUUCUUUCAGGCAUUUAAUCAAACACUUUCGGUGUAUUAGAAACCCUAUAAUCAGGAACUAGGUGAUCAAUCCAAUCCAAGCAUUAAGAACAACCUAGAUGAAAAAACUGCUAGGAUAUUCCAUAUUCUGACAAAUCAAAAUCAUCAUCAGUCUAUGAAUUUCAAUGAAACCCUAAACCUAACUCAUGAACUACAUAUACACAGCAGGAAACACAUAGAGAUGAUGAAUAAUGCAUAAUAAAAGUAAAAAACAAAAACAUGCUUCAUAAAUCUUCUCUAAAAGUUUUGUCUUCCCAAAUCUCCAAAACAAAAUAACUCUGAUGAAAAAAGAAAUUGUAGCUUAAACAGUGGUUGAAAAUAUUAGAUAUAGGUCUAUUUUUUCGUGUUGGACGAAAUUUGGGAUAAACCAAAUCGAAAAAAAGCCUAAGUUUUCUUUUUGUGCUCUUAUUGAACCAGUAGAUAGAGCAGUUUUCAGUAAAAUGUGCAUAACUUUUGAUCUUACCGAUAUAUUAACUUCAAACAUGCUGAAUUGCUAACUCAAUUCUUUAUCUAGUUUCUGAAGUUGAGAGAAAUCUAUUUGUGAGAAUCUUUCCAUCCUUUGCUAAACUUCUGACAUGUAUGCACAGUUCUGUAUCUUUUAAUGCUGCUUUACACCCAAUUCGAUAUCUUCUUCUCUAAAUAAACUUAUUAUCUGAAAAAAUAAAAAAUGACAAAAAUACUCAAAAAAACAUACGAGAUAAACGAAUCAAAAAGGUUAGAUAGCGACAAAAACAACGUUUAUUAACUCCCCCAAACUUAGACUUUUGUUUGUCUUAAAAAAAAAUCAAAGUAGAAGAAAAAGGUUUGAAAACAUAAGAACUCACAUAUCCUUCAGAACACCAUCUUACCAUUGCCAGUUUCAAGCCACAUAAAAAAAGCUCCAACCUAACAAGGUACUUUUAUGUACUCAACCCAACUCAUCAAUCUAACCAUUUUCAGCCCACAACUUAUAAGAGCUGUACAACUUCACCAUCACUGGCCUCAUUUAAGAGUUUAAGGUGCAGUCUCGUUGAGGAAGUAUCGAUCAUAGGACACAUGGACGCUUGUCCAUUCAGCUUUUUGUUCACAUAGACAAUCUUACUCUAGUUUAUUUCCUCUCUCUUUUUUUCACUUCUCUUAGUCGAUUUCUCCCUAUUUUGUAGGUCAUCGUUUUUUUUUUAUCGACGAAGUUUUUUGGACAUGCUUCCAUGAUACACCAGCAUUAACGAGGGUAACCACUAAGUGCCGUAUUCACUUGUUUUGACCUUUAUCCUUUUUAUUUUUUAUUGCAGUGAAGAGAGGGAAACCAUAAUCACACAGACUAGUCUUUUCAGACCUUAACGAGGAGUCCAAAACGAUGUAUAUAAAACCCCAAGACUAGAGAAUCAAGUAUAAGUGGGAGGUCAGCUUAAGGAUCCUUCAAACACCCAACAAGCAUAUUUGUUAUUGGCAAAUCAACCCACUUAGGUGUUUUCUAUAGUGUACAGUAUGCAGUCAAUAACUGAAAGAACGGUCACUGGAACAUCAAUUAGACAGUUAGUUCCAAAAACAAAAUUGUUCCCAACUAAAUUUUGACUAAAUAAACAGCAGACCCAAGACUCAAAGAUAAAAAAGACAAUAUGAACAAAAAAUCAAGAAGAAGGUAAUGAAAAGUAAGAAGAAAAAUUGUUUUUUUUUUAAAUAGUCGAACAAGAAUAGCGCUUCUGAUCCACCAAGAAUAUAACUUCUGAUAGACCAGUCUUUACAAUUCAACCUGAUUUCUUCUCCAUUCGCAUUUUUUCUUACGUCGUUGAGAUGCUGAAGGAUUAAGAUCGAUCGAUCUUUUGCGGAGAUCAACUGAUCUCUUGCACGAUCGAUAUUUGCGGAGAUUGACCAAUUUUUUUGUGGAGAUCGACGGGUCGUAUAUAAAAGAUCGAUCGAUCUAGAUUAGAUUUACCAAUGUGUGUGGUUUUACGCAGUAUCGAGCCCAUUCGUGUUUGCUUGUUGGGCGCAUAUCAACCAAAACAGUGCCAAGAUUGACUGAUCCCAUGUUUUUUAUCCGAAACAAAAGAAAACUAAACCCAUAAAUCAAAGAUAAAUUGAAACUAAAGAGAAACAUGUACAUUUGCCAGUGGGUUGCUGCCUCCCACCAAGGGAUUGUUUGAAAUCAUUAUCUUGAUUUCGGUAUGGAAAUCAACCUGGCUAAGAAGAGGGCCUUGCUCCAAAAUAAGUUUCAUAGUUUGGACAUGCUAAGCUCUAGAAUUCCACUCAGCAGAUCCUUCAUACCACUUUGUCCCUUCUCUUUGAACUAAGAACUAAGAAAAACUGUAAUCUUCGAAAAAGGCUUUGAGGUUCCUUUGCAUUUAACUUCGUACUCAACUGAAUCUUUAUCUUAUUUCAGUUGAACCAAAAUCAUAUGACCUACUUUGAUCCUUUGCUCUUCACAUUGACUUUGGCACUAGGUUUCUCACAGGACAAAGUUGAGAGUCUUCAUCAAAGACUUCCCUGACUUCUCUUUUUCCAUUAACCUCUUUUCGAAGAACAUCCAUAGUGACAAAAUCUUCAUGCCUUUGUGCUGUACUUGUGGGAAUCAUCUUGUAAAAAAACCUUCAUGUCUAUGUUUGCAAAUAACCCUCACUUGUUAUGGAGAUCAAUUAUUGAACCACUAUAGCCAUGAAUGGCCUCCCAAGAAUCAUUGAUACAAUAGACUCCUCAACCAUCUCCACAACAUGAAAAUCAACAUGCAACAUAUAAUUUUGGGAUUGUACCAUAUGGAGUUGUUGUGGAUGAGUUAGAAAAGGAAAGAGUCAUCUUGAGUGGCUGAAUCCUAUCGACUCUCAGCUUCUCUGCAAUUUCCUCUAACCUGACGUUCCCAUUAUAUCUAGAAUCACACAGAUGCUCCUUGAACGCAAAACCAGAUAUGGAGCAUUGAAAGACAAAUUUCUUAGGAUCUUCAACCUUAGGUAAUACUCUCAGUGGUGCUUGUCAGUCGACACCUCGGUAAAUAGAUCUUUAAUAUCCUCUUAAAUUUCUCUAAAGUUUUUAAAGAACAUAUGCAAUUGAUGAAUCUCCCUAAAAUCUUUAAAUGAGAUCUCUUUAGGAAGCAUUCUCAUCAUCUUGUUAAUGCAUAGUAGCUUCUCCGCACUAAUGUGGUCCUUCAAAUAUAGGUGGCAUUGGGUAUGGAACCUUAUGAACAUAUGGUGAUGGUUCCACAUAUGAAAAUUCAUCCUGUUAAAAUUUCUCCUGAUUUUCCUUUCCAGCUAAGAUUACAUUGCACUGCUCUUGAGGAUUAUUCUCACCCCUUCUUGGAGCAAUUAUGCGCAGCCUUUUUAUCGACUCAGUGUUUUGAGAUACAUGUGCAUCAAGCUUGUCGACAUGAUCUGAAAGAGACUCCAAUCUAUUUCAAGUCUUGAUACAUGGUGUCUACUUUCUGAUUGAUGAUGUCAAACUUUAUGCUCACAUCACUGUCUGCUUUUAUCUAUCAUUUGCUGGAUCAUCAUCUCAACCUUAAAUUCUUGAGCCAAUGGAACUGCGCUUACAAGAGACUGAAAGUGAGCUCUUUCUCCAAAAUACUCGCAUGAGUUGACAAAAUUUUUAAUCUCUCUAUAUCAGCAUGUCUAUCUUUGCAUUCAACUCUCAAUCUUUUAACCUCCACACUACGGACUUAUCUUGUUCUAUCGCAUUUCUGCAGUGAUCAAUAGAGCUAGAAGCAAGAUUUUUGAUCAGUGUGUAUGCUUCAUCUCCAGUCUCUAUCAUGAAAUAUCCAUUGCUAGCUGCAUUGAAAGGAUUCUUGACAUUCUAGUUGACUCCAUCAUAGAAGAUGUUGAGGAUGUGCUCCUUGGAGUGCCAUGAUGAGGGUAGUCCCUGUUAUACUCCUUGAACCUUUUCCAUGACCUCAUACAUAGGCUAAGAAGGGUUCUGCUGGAAAUUAAUGAUAUUACUCUUGAGGGUUGUUUUCUUGGAAUUUGUGUAGAAGCUUUCCAAGAAGAUCACUCUGCAGCCAUCUCAGUGCCUUGUCGCUUAGAGAGAAUGCAAAGUGAUGAUCUACGGCUCUAUAUCAUAGUCAUGCCCUGUAAUCGUAGGAAGCUGAAUCGUAGACCUAUUAUGGUAGAAGGCAUGCAGAGUAUCAUAGGAUCCGACAGAAUGAGGCUGAUGGUAUUGUCACACAGCAGCAGCGUUGAUGACGUUAUGCUCUUCUUUGUUGUCAUCCAUGUCUUUCUCAUGUAGCUGAAACACAAAAAGAAGAAGAGGAUAUGAAUACUGAAAAUUUCAUAGACUAAACUUUAGUCCUGGACUGGUAGGUAAUUCUAUUGGUCCCUGGAAACGGCAAUGUGAUCAGAUUUUAACCACUAAAUGGAAACUACAAGUGCACAACAGUGUGUUGUAGGACUUAGGGAUCAAAUUCACAGAGACCAAAGUUAAACUACUAUUACGCGAGGGUAGAAUUAACCUAGAACAAAAGGAUGUGUUUUAUGUAACCAAAUUGCAGAGAAUGUAAAAUAAUGCAAACUUAUGAAUAAAAAGAGUCAGGUCUUGGGAAGUCUCAGGAAACAUAGAUUAAAUGAUAUGAUGGUUUGACAUGGAAUGUAUUAAGAACCGUUCUAAAACUAAAAUCUCUUAACUAGACUAGCCUACUUCCACAGUACUAAACCUUAUGUAUAAGUUUCUAAAGACUAACUCCCGUUGAAUGUCAGAUUCUAGACAUACAAUAAGAACAAGUUUGAUAGGUUCACAAAACUCUCUAACAUCAACUUCCAUUAGUUAAUUUUUUUUUGAUCAUCUAAGUUUUUUCAGGCAUUUAAUCGAACUCUUUUGGUACAUUAAACAACCCAUAAAUCAGGAACUAUGUUAUCAAUCCAAUUCAAGUAUUAAGAACAACCUAGAUGAAGAAACCGAUAUGAUUCCCUAUUCUAACAAAUCACAAUCAUCAAUCUAUGAAUUAUAUUGAAACCCUAAACCUUGCUAAUGAAACUACACAUACAUAGAAGAAGAGAAACACGGAGAGAUGAUGAUAAGUGCAUAGUGCAAUUAGAAAUCAAAAAUAGGGUCGAAAAUCUUCUCCAAAGGUAAAGAUUUGUCUCCCCAAAUCUCUAUAACUAAUAAGUUGGAUGAAAAAGAAAUAUUAUUCUAAAACAUGGCUUAAAAUAGCAGAUAUAGGUCUACUUUUUCGUCGAAAUUUGGGUUAAGCCAAAUCGAAAAUAAGGAAAACCAAAAUUUCCUUUUUUUUCUCAUAAUGAAUAUGUAAACAGAGUGAUCAGUAAAAUGCGCAUAGAUAUUGAUCUAAUUGAUGUAUUGACCUCAAACUGGAAGAAUUGGAAAGCUAACUCAAUUAUUUAUCUUGUGUCCAAAUUUUAGAGAAAUCUAUUGAUGGGAAUUUUUUCAUCCGUUGUUAAACUUCUGAUGUAUGUGCACAUUUAUGCAUCUUGUAGUGUUCCUUUACACCCAAUUGGACACAUUCUAUUUUAAAUCGACCUAACACCUGAAAAUACUCGAUAAAGGACUAAAAGACUCAAAAAAUUAUAUUAUAGUUUAAUAAAUGACUCAAAACAAAGGUUUGAAACUGAUAAAAACAACGUUAUCAAUAAUGCAAUAGAAAGGGUUAUCAUACAAAAUAUCUAACAAACUGGAUCUAUAUGAAAUAAAAAAUAUACAGUUUCAAGAUGCAGAAGGGUAAGAGCAUGGAUGAAAAUUUGGAGGUUUUCGUAAAGCUAGUGUCUUAUUUAGCGAGUCUUGACAUCAAUAUAUCAGACUAAGAUAAAGCUAUCUACAUGAUGAACAAUUUAUGAAAGACAUAUGAACCACUGAUUCAUACACUAAAGUAUGGUAGCGAUAAAGGAUAUGAUCACUGUUCAGGAAGUGUAAUUUCAACAUCUUUCUCCAAAGAAGUGGAUUUGAAGGAAGCAUGAUAGCUAAAUAAGUCUAAGCGAAGGCUUAUAUGUGGCUACAUGGGAAAUUUUGAAAAGAGAAAGGAAAUCAACUAGAACAAAGGCAGACCAAAGAGUCGGUGAAGGUCUCCAAGUAGGCUCAAAGGUAGAGGUUUUUUCGUGGACAUUGAAAAGAGAUUGUCCAGAUCAAAUCAGAUAAAAACAGGAAGAUUACGCGAAUAUGGUAACAUAAAUUGAGGAGCCAUAGAUUUUUACCGCAAGUAUCCAUAAUUCUAAUGAUGAAUGAGUUUUGUACUCAGGUUGCACUUUGCAUAUAACUCCAAAUAAAGAAGUAUUCUUGGAUUUGAAUAGUUUAAGGAGGAAAAGUGGUUCUGGGUAACUAACACAUAUAGUAAGAUCAAAGGAAUAAGGAAGAUCAGGAUAUCAAACCAAGAUGGAUCUAUGGUGAUUAUAUCCUAAGUAAGGUACACAUACUAACUAUGAGUCAAAAAGAUUUCAUACGAACUUUUGGAUAAAGACGAGAAUGUUGGUUUGAAGGAAAACAAUGAAGGGUACAGUUCUACAAAGAGAUAAGAAGAUAAUUGACGGUAUAUAUAAUGAAGACUUAUACUAUUUAGAAGGAAUGAUUGCUAAUGUUGAAACACAUACGUCACUUGCAGUUAUGUCAUAUGAGCAUGAAAAGCAUGGACGUAGUUGUGAAAGAAGGAUACAUCACAUACAAAGAAGUGCAAAAACUUAAAUUUUGAGAAAGUUGUGUUUCAAGAAAAAGUAACAAACAUAGUUUUAUUACAAAUUAUUGCAUUUUCCAAAAUAGUUUUAUAUAACACUACAAGAAAACAAAAGAUUUACGAGGGUGGUUUUCCUCGUGAUUUCGUCGUAAAAGCAGUAUUACGAGGAAUUAGCGAGAAAAUCCGUUUCGUCGUUAUACGUUUGUCGUAACGCAUAUAUCGUCGCUAAUUCGUCGUAAGAUAGCGAGGAAAUGAUUUCGUCGUAAAAACGAAGAAUAAUAUUUCCUCUUAAAGACCACAGAAAGCUUCCACGUAAGGACGUCGCUAAAUUUCCUCGUAAAUACCUCGAAACGUGUUCCUCGUAAAACCCACGUAAAUAACUCGAAAGUAAAUACUCGUAAAGUAAACGUAAAUACCUUGAAAGUGAACUUUCCACGUCAUUUCCUUGUAAACUCUUCCUCGUAAAAACCUCGUCAAACUUUCCACGUAAAGAAGUCCCAAAAUUAGCUACGAAUUUACUUCGUUUCGUUAUUUUACAAAAAUAUAAAAAAUUAUAAUUAAAAAACUAAUUAAAAUUAUUUAAAUUAUUAAUAAAAUUAAAAUUCUAAAAA